This is a long non-coding RNA of Pseudophryne corroboree (corroboree frog), 790 nucleotides long. RefSeq lists it as uncharacterized. The transcript has 3 exons. The record is from RefSeq and is a predicted model, not a curated record. Lineage: Eukaryota; Metazoa; Chordata; Amphibia; Anura; Myobatrachidae.
CUGCCUUCACGUACAAGGCGCCUGGAGCCGGGUUCCCAUGGCAACCCCUGGGUUGGAGCGCAAGCCGUUUGUCACUAUGGCAAUGAACGGAAGUCCCGGCCCGGAAGUGAGUCACCAUGAAUGAAGCCGGACUGCAAGUGCGCCCAGGUGCGGGGAGUGGUGCUGAUCGGUGAGGCUUAAGAGGGGGUCUCUACGGCUCUUUGGGCAAUUAAGAAAUGAUGAUCAUGAAGAUCGGAUCACAACUGUUUUAUCAGCAUUGCCCCUUUAUUCCAUUAACCUGACUCCCUCUCAAAGCCUGAACUUGAAAACGUCACAAAUGAUGUCAUAAACUUUACUUUAGUGGAAUACAACAAAAUAAAGGACAAAUGAUUAUAUUGUACUGGGACCUCGGACACUGUGGUUUCUCUCACCGGAUCAGAUCCACGCUACUUAGAUAAUGGUCUCUACAGCUCGUUGGGCAAUUAAGGAAUGAUGAUCACGAAGAUCGGAUCACAACUGCUUUAUCAGCAUUGCCCCUUUAUUCCAUUAACCUGACUCCCUCUCAAAGCAUGAACUUGAAAACGUCACAAAUUAUGUCAUACACUUUACUUCAGUGGAAUACAACAAAAUAAAGGACAAUUGAUUUUAUUGUACUGGGACCUCGGACACUGUGGUUUCUCUCACCGGAUCAUAUCCACGCUACUUAGAUAAUGGUUAGUAAAGCAGACAGUGCAAGAAAAUACUUUAACGUAUACAUUUACAUGACAAGAUAAAUAGCUUUAUAUGUGACCUCCCCUUUUCAGUACUGAAA